GGAGGAAGGUGGGGAUGACGUCAAGUCAGUAUGGCCCUUACGGCCAGGGCUGCACACGUACUACAAUGCCCGGCACAAAGGGAAGCAAUACCGUAAGGUGGAGCAAAUCCCAAAACCGGGACCCAGUUCAGAUUGCCGUCUGCAACUCGACGGCAUGAAGCUGGAAUCGCUAGUAAUGGCGCAUCAGCUACGGCGCCGUGAAUACGUUCCCAGGCCUU
RNAcentral lists this ribosomal RNA (218 nucleotides) under uncultured Verrucomicrobiota bacterium. RNAcentral's name for it is "uncultured Verrucomicrobia bacterium partial 16S ribosomal RNA". It matches the Rfam family "Bacterial small subunit ribosomal RNA", at positions 1165 to 1382 of the family's 1533-position model. Lineage: Bacteria; Pseudomonadati; Verrucomicrobiota. The record is from RNAcentral.